CCUACGGGGAGCAGCAGUGAGGAAUAUUGGUCAAUGGACGAGAGUCUGAACCAGCCAAGUAGCGUGAAGGAUGACUGCCCUAUGGGUUGUAAACUUCUUUUAUAUGGGAAUAAACUGUUCCACGUGUGGGAUUUUGUAUGUACCCUAUGAAUAAGGAUCGGCUAACUCCGUGCCAGCAGCCGCGGUAAUAUGGCGGAUCCGAGCGUUAUCCGGAUUUAUUGGGUUUAAAGGGAGCGUAGGUGGAUUGUUAAGUCAGUUGUGAAAGUUUGCGGCUCAACCGUAAAAUUGCAGUUGAAACUGGCAGUCUUGAGGACAGUAGAGGUGGGCGGAAUUCGUGGUGUAGCGGUGAAAUGCUUAGAUAUCACGAAGAACUCCGAUUGCGAAGGCAGUUCACUGGACUGCAACUGACACUGAGGCUCGAAAGUGUGGGUAUCAAACAGGAUUAGAUACCCUUGUAGUC
This 460-nucleotide ribosomal RNA is filed under the name uncultured bacterium. RNAcentral's name for it is "partial 16S ribosomal RNA". It matches the Rfam family "Bacterial small subunit ribosomal RNA", at positions 338 to 795 of the family's 1533-position model. The record is from RNAcentral.